This 109-nucleotide ribosomal RNA is filed under the name uncultured bacterium. RNAcentral describes it as "partial 16S ribosomal RNA". It matches the Rfam family "Bacterial small subunit ribosomal RNA", at positions 1373 to 1482 of the family's 1533-position model. The record is from RNAcentral.
CCCGGGCCUUGUACACACCGCCCGUCACGCCAUGGAAGCCGGUAGUGCCCGAAGUCCGUGAUCCAACCCUCGGGGGAAGCGGCCGAAGGCAAGAUCGGUGACUGGGGCG